This 529-nucleotide long non-coding RNA is filed under the name Bos indicus x Bos taurus (hybrid cattle). RNAcentral describes it as "lncRNA (ENSBIXG00000014718.1)". Lineage: Eukaryota; Metazoa; Chordata; Mammalia; Artiodactyla; Bovidae. The record is from RNAcentral.
AUGAGGAGUAUUGCUGGGCCAGAGAUAACAUGUGGGAACGUGCAAGGUCAGCCCGUGUUUAGAUCAGAAGCCCCAAUUCUCCCUUUGAUUCCAGGAUGCGCAGCAACUGGCAGGAAAGCCGCCAUCUCUGCUCCACUAGGCUCCUUCUUCUCCUAUACGUGGGAUGCCUCCAAACGCACUAUUAGGACUUUCCGGAGCCUUAGGCCUGUGUGCCAAAUCUCACUUCCUUCUCCGUGCAGGUGACAGAGAUGGAGCGAUACCAUCCUUCACCUGGAGGAAACAUGACUUCCCAGGGAAUGCACGCUGCCUUGCAGAGGGCUGACGGGGACAUCCUGGGAGGUUGCCACACUUACUGCUUGCAGGCAUCACCACGUGGGGCUGUGGGUCUGGCUGGACCACCUGCCAAUGACACGAUGCCUCUGGCCAAGCAAUGGGAAAUUAGAAGCUUUUUCUAGUUUCAUGUACGGUCUCAGCCUUACCCUCCCAAUGUCAUUUCUUGUAGAAACUGAAACACUUACUCCCCCUCCCC